Molecule: ribosomal RNA, 94 nt
Filed under: uncultured bacterium
Lineage: Bacteria
Description: partial 16S ribosomal RNA
Source: RNAcentral
UCCGUAAACCCCUGUCAUUUGCGAACAAACCUUAGUUGUUAACAGCGACUCAAGCUGAUUGUAGCGAAAGAGGAAGGGACGGCUAACUCUGUGC